Molecule: ribosomal RNA, 450 nt
Filed under: Streptococcus sanguinis
Lineage: Bacteria; Bacillati; Bacillota; Bacilli; Lactobacillales; Streptococcaceae
Description: bacterial SSU rRNA
Rfam family: Bacterial small subunit ribosomal RNA
Source: RNAcentral
GACGAACGCUGGCGGCGUGCCUAAUACAUGCAAGUAGAACGCUGAAGAGAGGAGCUUGCUCUUCUUGGAUGAGUUGCGAACGGGUGAGUAACGCGUAGGUAACCUGCCUGGUAGCGGGGGAUAACUAUUGGAAACGAUAGCUAAUACCGCAUGAUAUUGAAUAUCGCGUGAUAAUUAAUUGAAAGGUGCAAUUGCAUCACUACCAGGUGGACCUGCGUUGUAUUAGCUAGUUGGUGAGGUAACGGCUCACCAAGGCGACGAUACAUAGCCGACCUGAGAGGGUGAUCGGCCACACUGGGACUGAGACACGGCCCAGACUCCUACGGGAGGCAGCAGUAGGGAAUCUUCGGCAAUGGGGGGAACCCUGACCGAGCAACGCCGCGUGAGUGAAGAAGGUUUUCGGAUCGUAAAGCUCUGUUGUAAGAGAAGAACGGGUGUGAGAGUGGAAAU